AGCUUUGCGCAGUGGCAGUAUCGUAGCCAAUGAGGUUUAUCCGAGGCGUGAUUAUUGCUAAUUGAAACCUUUGCAGUAUCCCAUUGGUUUCAGACUGAAGUGUUUUCAUUCUCAUUAGUUUCCAUGAAUUGUUUAAGUUCUUCUCUAAUU
RNAcentral lists this small nuclear RNA (150 nucleotides) under Mustela putorius furo (domestic ferret). Its description in RNAcentral is "U4 spliceosomal RNA". It matches the Rfam family "U4 spliceosomal RNA". Rfam says of the family: U4 small nuclear RNA (U4 snRNA) is a component of the major U2-dependent spliceosome. The structure of U4 snRNA from yeast and human has been reported. The record is from Rfam by way of RNAcentral. Lineage: Eukaryota; Metazoa; Chordata; Mammalia; Carnivora; Mustelidae.